GCCUACUUGACUCAGCGGUUAGAGUAUCGCUUUCAUACGGCGAGAGACAUUGGUUCAAAUCCAAUGGUAGGAU
This 73-nucleotide transfer RNA is filed under the name Hevea brasiliensis (rubber tree). RNAcentral describes it as "tRNA-Met". It matches the Rfam family "tRNA". Rfam says of the family: Transfer RNA (tRNA) molecules are approximately 80 nucleotides in length. Their secondary structure includes four short double-helical elements and three loops (D, anti-codon, and T loops). Lineage: Eukaryota; Viridiplantae; Streptophyta; Magnoliopsida; Malpighiales; Euphorbiaceae. RNAcentral also lists the same sequence under 3 other names. The record is from RNAcentral.